UGGGGAAUCUUGGACAAUGGGGGAAACCCUGAUCCAGCCAUCCCGCGUGUGCGAUGAAGGCCUUCGGGUUGUAAAGCACUUUUGGCAGGAAAGAAACGUCAUGGGUUAAUACCCCGUGAAACUGACGGUACCUGCAGAAUAAGCACCGGCUAACUACGUGCCAGCAGCCGCGGUAAUACGUAGGGUGCAAGCGUUAAUCGGAAUUACUGGGCGUAAAGCGUGCGCAGGCGGUUCGGAAAGAAAGAUGUGAAAUCCCAGAGCUCAACUUUGGAACUGCAUUUUUAACUGCCGGGCUAGAGUGUGUCAGAGGGGGGUGGAAUUCCGCGUGUAGCAGUGAAAUGCGUAGAUAUGCGGAGGAACACCGAUGGCGAAGGCAGCCUCCUGGGAUAACACUGACGCUCAUGCACGAAAGCGUGGGGAGCAAACAGG
RNAcentral lists this ribosomal RNA (429 nucleotides) under Acidobacteriota bacterium. Its description in RNAcentral is "Acidobacteria bacterium partial 16S ribosomal RNA". It matches the Rfam family "Bacterial small subunit ribosomal RNA", at positions 355 to 776 of the family's 1533-position model. The record is from RNAcentral. Lineage: Bacteria; Pseudomonadati; Acidobacteriota.